UGGGGAAUUUUGGACAAUGGGCGAAAGCCUGAUCCAGCAAUGCCGCGUGUGUGAAGAAGGCCUUCGGGUUGUAAAGCACUUUUGUCCGGAAAGAAAUCCUUGGCUCUAAUACAGUCGGGGGAUGACGGUACCGGAAGAAUAAGCACCGGCUAACUACGUGCCAGCAGCCGCGGUAAUACGUAGGGUGCAAGCGUUAAUCGGAAUUACUGGGCGUAAAGCGUGCGCAGGCGGUUUGCUAAGACCGAUGUGAAAUCCCCGGGCUCAACCUGGGAACUGCAUUGGUGACUGGCAGGCUAGAGUAUGGCAGAGGGGGGUAGAAUUCCACGUGUAGCAGUGAAAUGCGUAGAGAUGUGGAGGAAUACCGAUGGCGAAGGCAGCCCCCUGGGCCAAUACUGACGCUCAUGCACGAAAGCGUGGGGGAGCAAAACAGGAUUAGAUACCCUGGUAGUCCACGCCCUAAACGAUGUCAACUAGUUGUUGGGGGAUUCAUUUCCUUAGUAACGUAGCUAACGCGUGAAGUUGACCGCCUGGGGAGUACGGUCGCAAGAUUAAAACUUAAAUGAAUUGACGGGGUCAUAGCUGUUUCCU
This 588-nucleotide ribosomal RNA is filed under the name uncultured bacterium. Its description in RNAcentral is "partial 16S ribosomal RNA". It matches the Rfam family "Bacterial small subunit ribosomal RNA", at positions 355 to 1375 of the family's 1533-position model. The record is from RNAcentral.